GGGGCUGUAGCUCAGCUGGGAGAGCGCUUGAAUGGCAUUCAAGAGGUCGAGGGUUCGAUCCCCUUCAGCUCCACCA
RNAcentral lists this transfer RNA (76 nucleotides) under Bacillota bacterium. RNAcentral's name for it is "Firmicutes bacterium (anaerobic digester metagenome) tRNA-Ala". It matches the Rfam family "tRNA". From Rfam's summary of the family: Transfer RNA (tRNA) molecules are approximately 80 nucleotides in length. Their secondary structure includes four short double-helical elements and three loops (D, anti-codon, and T loops). RNAcentral also lists the same sequence under 2 other names. The record is from RNAcentral. Lineage: Bacteria; Bacillati; Bacillota.